This 478-nucleotide ribosomal RNA is filed under the name uncultured eukaryote. RNAcentral describes it as "partial 18S ribosomal RNA". It matches the Rfam family "Eukaryotic small subunit ribosomal RNA", at positions 454 to 875 of the family's 1831-position model. The record is from RNAcentral.
AUUCGGUGAGGUAGUGACAAGAAAUACCAAUAUAGGACCCAACGGGUACUAUGUUUGGAAUGAGUACAAUUUAAAAACCUUAACGAGGAACAAUUGGAGGGCAAGUCUGGUGCCAGCAGCCGCGGUAAUUCCAGCUCCAAUAGUGUAUAUUAAAGUUGCUGCGGUUAAAAAGCUCGUAGUUGGAUUUUCGGAGUUGUUAUCUGAACCUUCUCGCCAUAAAAAGUGGGGGGGCUAAGGUAGCAGUAGUUUUCAUCAUAGUCCACCAGGAUACUCUCUUGGUGUGUACUGGGUGUUAACCUCCUUUUUUUCUGGUACUUGCUAUCCAGCAAUGGGUAGUUUUGUCCAGAUAGUUUACUUUGAAAAAAUUAGAGUGUUCAAAGCAGGCAUAAUUGGCAUCAUGAAUACAUUAGCAUGGGAUAAUAGAAUAUGACAUUGGUCUUAUUUUGUUGGUUUCUAAGGCCAAAGUAAUGAUUGAUAG